Molecule: ribosomal RNA, 253 nt
Filed under: uncultured bacterium
Lineage: Bacteria
Description: partial 16S ribosomal RNA
Rfam family: Bacterial small subunit ribosomal RNA
Source: RNAcentral
GACGUAGGGCGCGAGCGUUGUCCGGAUUUAUUGGGCGUAAAGAGCUCGUAGGCGGCUCGUUGCGUCGGCUGUGAAAACCCGCAGCUCAACUGUGGGCUUGCAGCUGAUACGGGCGGGCUUGGAUUCGGUAGGGGAGACUGGAAUUCCUGGUGUAGCGGUGAAAUGCGCAGAUAUCAGGAGGAACACCCGUGGCGAAGGCGGUUCUCUGGGACGGUACUGACGCUGAGACGCGAAAGCGUGGGGAGCGAACAGG